RNAcentral lists this unclassified non-coding RNA (400 nucleotides) under soil metagenome. Its description in RNAcentral is "partial contains 5.8S ribosomal RNA, internal transcribed spacer 2, and large subunit ribosomal RNA". The stretch from base 1 to 122 matches the Rfam family "5.8S ribosomal RNA", at positions 35 to 154 of the family's 154-position model. The record is from RNAcentral.
GAUGAAGAACGUAGCGAAAUGCGAUACUUGGUGUGAAUUGCAGAAUCCCGUGAACCAUCGAGUCUUUGAACGCAAGUUGCGCCUCAAGCCAUUAGGUUGAGGGCACGUCUGCCUGGGCGUCACAUAUCGUUGCCUGAUGCCAGUUUCCUCGUGAUGGGUGACUGUGCAGGGCGAAUGAUGGCUUCCCGUGAGCAUUGUUGCCUCAUGGUUGGUUGAAAAUUGAGUCCUUGGUAGGGAGCGCCGUGAUAGAUGGUGGUUGAGUGACGAACGAGACCCAAUCAUGUGAGACCCCUACCGAAUUUGGCCUUCAUGACCCGCAUGCGUCUUUGGAACGCUCAUGACGAGACCUCAGGUCAGGCGGGGCUACCCGCUGAGUUUAAGCAUAUCAAUAAGCGGAGGA